This is a long non-coding RNA of Onthophagus taurus, 354 nucleotides long. RefSeq lists it as uncharacterized. Lineage: Eukaryota; Metazoa; Arthropoda; Insecta; Coleoptera; Scarabaeidae. The record is from RefSeq and is a predicted model, not a curated record.
CCUCAUCUUUUUCUCUUUUAUUUUUAUCUCUCUUAUCCAGUUUAACAUUUGCUCUGGCUUGAUUUACUCAGUCUCGCCUCAUCUCAUCCCACCAACACAUCUUUAAUACGAUCUUAAAGAUUUAUUCGAAUUUCUAAUUUUUUAACAUUCUACAUUUUUAACGUCGCCAUUUGUAUUUUCAACUUCAUCUUCAUUUUGUUUAUCCAUCAGAUAGCAAAAUGCUUUACUUUCACCUGAUUUCCAGUCUGCACCUUUUAUAGCUUCAUUGACUUUGUCGCUGAUGAUGGGGUAACCCGAAACUAGUACGACUUUAUAUUAAUAAACGCAAGUUAGAAGUUUUUAUAUGGUUUUUAU